Molecule: ribosomal RNA, 109 nt
Filed under: Burkholderia cepacia
Lineage: Bacteria; Pseudomonadati; Pseudomonadota; Betaproteobacteria; Burkholderiales; Burkholderiaceae
Also listed under: 3 other names
Description: partial 16S ribosomal RNA
Rfam family: Bacterial small subunit ribosomal RNA
Source: RNAcentral
AGUGGCUAGUCUAACCGCAAGGAGGACGGUCACCACGGUAGGAUUCAUGACUGGGGUGAAGUCGUAACAAGGUAGCCGUAUCGGAAGGUGCGGCUGGAUCACCUCCUUU